GUAAGUUGAGGUGACUGCGUGCCUCACAUAUAUUAGGUAGCAAGUUGUUUCCUUUAUGGUUGUACUGACCCCUACUGUAAUUUCAAGAGCAUCCUUAUUGUUCCAUUCUCGCCAAUUAUUAUUAUCAGGCUUGUAAAUUUUUCUAUAUCAUUUUAAUAUGCAUUCUCUUUAAUUUUGCAUUUUCUUCUAAAACUUUCAAAGUUCUGCCUUUCUCAUUUAAGCCCUUGACCGUCCAUCUUAAUCUGGGUUUUGUGUGUGAAGUUAUAUGUCCAUUUGUCUUUCAAAGAAACAUUUUCUUAUAUUUCUCUUGGUUAAAAAACUUUCAGAGAGAAAAUUUUAACCCUAACCCCAUCUAUUUUGAGGAGAAUCAGUGGGUUUACCAAAGACUACGAUCAUACACAGAGCUCAGAGAAGCGCUCCCCUUCUGUUAGGAUUUAGAUCUUGGGUGUCUCCCCAAAGCCUGUGCUGGAAGGUGGUUGGAUCACAAGAGCACUGUACUCACCAGUGGGUUUGUCCAUUGAUGAGUUCAUAGCUGAGUUGCUAUGGGGAGGUGGGGUCUGGUUGGAAGAGGUGCAUCACCGGGGUGUGACCUGGAAGGAUCCAUCUUCUGUGCUUCCUGACCCCCAUGAUGUGAGCAGCUUUCCUCCACCCAGGACUUCCUGGUGCCGCCAAACAUAGCCAGAAACUUCUCAACUAUGUACUUCUAUGACUUAUAAAAAAGCAGCAGAACAAUGCCCUUUCACCAGCAUCCUCCUCCGGCAUCAUUUGUCAUUGGGUCAUGUGAAAGUGGGUAGUGACUCACUGAGGGCCGAAGUGAAGACAGCUGAAGAAUGUUCAGAGGCUCUAGAUAAGCUGAUUGUGAAGAAACUCACUUGCCGGAGCUGAGCUUCCAUAUGGACGAGAGCCUCCGGUCCACAAAGGGAUGCCUGAAAGGACUUCGUCCACAAGGAGGCCACGUCAGAUACAGGUCUCAGGGCUUUGAAUGACAGGGUGAUGACCUUGCUGGGGCAGUGCUGCAGGCUGCACAUUGAAGUCCUUCAUAAUCCAGCACCAUGAGGACCCCAGGGCUAUCACAUCUGUCAAUAAGCACACACUGCCAGGGUCUUACAGGAUCAGCAAGAAGUCAGGGGCCACCGUACUUCUCUUUCGAGACGCUUUUCUGAAGUGCUUUGCCAGCAAAACAGAAUAGCAUGCUUUGGAGAAUAACACACUUUUCCGGAUCUUCUUUAUGGUUGACAAUGAUCUGAGGCCUCCUCCUUUACUGCCGAUCUUCAUCCCAAUAUCAAAGUGGUGUCUUUUUGACCCAGCUGAUGGAUCACAGUGCUAUAGCAGCUUCUGAAGUCUGCCACCUGAGGACCCCUGCCCAGGCCAGUGCAGCAGCCAGUGAGGACAUGUAGAUGACACAGAUGGAGCCUGGAAGAGUCACAGUGUGUCUGAGCGCAUCUAGCACCUGGCUUGGGUUUGAGGUGAUGUCACUGAAGAGCAUAGGAAUGGCACCCGGAAGAACACAUCCAGAGGUCCACACCGAUUCGCGAGGAGGAGGCGGCUGCAGAGAUCAAAAAGUCUGUGGCUGUGAAAGAAACACCUUAACCUGUCUGGGGAUGAGGACCCAACUGAGGAGCCCCUGGAGGUAGGUCCCGAGGAGCUGCCUAAUGAGGAAUUGUGGGGCUGGACGAGGAAUGCAUAGCUGAAGAAGAGAACUGAAG
This 1706-nucleotide long non-coding RNA is filed under the name Heterocephalus glaber (naked mole-rat). RNAcentral's name for it is "lncRNA (ENSHGLG00000047099.1)". Lineage: Eukaryota; Metazoa; Chordata; Mammalia; Rodentia; Bathyergidae. The record is from RNAcentral.